This 427-nucleotide ribosomal RNA is filed under the name uncultured Streptococcus sp. Its description in RNAcentral is "bacterial SSU rRNA". It matches the Rfam family "Bacterial small subunit ribosomal RNA", at positions 954 to 1382 of the family's 1533-position model. The record is from RNAcentral. Lineage: Bacteria; Bacillati; Bacillota; Bacilli; Lactobacillales; Streptococcaceae.
AAGCAACGCGAAGAACCUUACCAGGUCUUGACAUCCCGAUGCUAUUUCUAGAGAUAGAAGUUACUUCGGUACAUCGGUGACAGGUGGUGCAUGGUUGUCGUCAGCUCGUGUCGUGAGAUGUUGGGUUAAGUCCCGCAACGAGCGCAACCCCUAUUGUUAGUUGCCAUCAUUCAGUUGGGCACUCUAGCGAGACUGCCGGUAAUAAACCGGAGGAAGUGGGGAUGACGUCAAAUCAUCAUGCCCCUUAUGACCUGGGCUACACACGUGCUACAAUGGUUGGUACAACGAGUUGCGAGUCGGUGACGGCGAGCUAAUCUCUUAAAGCCAAUCUCAGUUCGGAUUGUAGGCUGCAACUCGCCUACAUGAAGUCGGAAUCGCUAGUAAUCGCGGAUCAGCACGCCCGCGGUCGAAUACGUUCCCGGGCCUU